Molecule: long non-coding RNA, 345 nt
Filed under: Salvia miltiorrhiza (redroot sage)
Lineage: Eukaryota; Viridiplantae; Streptophyta; Magnoliopsida; Lamiales; Lamiaceae
Description: long non-coding RNA (SMIL_LNC010532)
Source: RNAcentral
UUAAUUAGACAAUAUCAUAAUUAAAUAGCAACUACUUCUACAUAAAUUUUAAUGGAACAUUACCCCCAUUAACUUUCGUGUAAUCAACAGUUCUAAAAAAAAAGGGAAGAAUGAUUAGUAGUCAUUAAUACAAAGUGGAAGAUGAAAACACAUCUAAUCAAUCACAAAGAAAAAAAAAAAAAACUUCUCUUUCUCCUUCUUCAAUUCGCUCCCAACUUCCCAUUAAAAAAAACAAAACUUCUGCUUCUUCAUAGAUGGAAAAAUUGUUGAAAUCUGCAACACUCUCCCAACAUCAUCGUAACAUUAACACAUCAAGAACGAUAAGUAAUUCUAUCUACCUCUAUC